CCUACGGGAGGCAGCAGUGGGGAAUAUUGCACAAUGGGGGAAACCCUGAUGCAGCAAAGCCGCGUGAAGGAAGAAGGUUUUAGGAUUGUAAACUUUUGUUCUUAGUGAAGAAUAAUGACGGUAGCUAAGGAGCAAGCCACGGCUAACUACGUGCCAGCAGCCGCGGUAAUACGUAGGUGGCAAGCGUUGUCCGGAAUUACUGGGUGUAAAGGGAGCGCAGGCGGGAAGCCAAGUCAGCUGUGAAAACUACGGGCUUAACUUGUAGACUGCAGUUGAAACUGGUUGUCUUGAGUGAAGUAGAGGUUGGCGGAAUUCGGAGUGUAGCGGUGAAAUGCGUAGAUAUUCGGAGGAACACCGGUGGCGAAGGCAGCCAACUGGGCUUGAACUGACGCUGAGGCUCGAAAGUGUGGGGAGCGAACAGGAUUAGAUACCCGUGUAGUC
Molecule: ribosomal RNA, 441 nt
Filed under: uncultured bacterium
Lineage: Bacteria
Description: partial 16S ribosomal RNA
Rfam family: Bacterial small subunit ribosomal RNA
Source: RNAcentral